GUAGCAUGAGGCUGCAAAAAGGAUGAAUAUUUCAAGUAUUUUCAGUUUUAAGUAGGUCCUAUUCUAGAAAGAAGAACAUCUCAUUCAACAAAUGGUAUAAGAUAGAACAAAAUGAUACUAAGAAAAUAGUCUUUGCAUAAUCUGGAGAGUAGUUCAUUUACUGGCUUACUGCUUCUUCAACAGCAAGGGUCCAACGUUAUCGCCG
Molecule: unclassified non-coding RNA, 205 nt
Filed under: Hevea brasiliensis (rubber tree)
Lineage: Eukaryota; Viridiplantae; Streptophyta; Magnoliopsida; Malpighiales; Euphorbiaceae
Source: RNAcentral